ACACUCCUGCGGGAGGCAGCAGUGAGGAAUAUUGGACAAUGGGUGGAAGCCUGAUCCAGCCAUCCCGCGUGCAGGAAGACGGCCCUAUGGGUUGUAAACUGCUUUUAUCUGGGGAUAAACCUACUUACGUGUAAGUAGCUGAAGGUACCAGAAGAAUAAGCACCGGCUAACUCCGUGCCAGCAGCCGCGGUAAUACGGAGGGUGCAAGCGUUAUCCGGAUUUAUUGGGUUUAAAGGGUCCGUAGGCGGACUGAUAAGUCAGUGGUGAAAUCCGACAGCUUAACUGUCGAACUGCCAUUGAUACUGUUAGUCUUGAGUAAGGUUGAAGUGGCUGGAAUAAGUAGUGUAGCGGUGAAAUGCAUAGAUAUUACUUAGAACACCAAUUGCGAAGGCAGGUCACUAAGUCUUAACUGACGCUGAUGGACGAAAGCGUGGGGAGCGAACAGGAUUAGAAACCCGAGUAGUCC
This 466-nucleotide ribosomal RNA is filed under the name uncultured organism. RNAcentral's name for it is "partial 16S ribosomal RNA". It matches the Rfam family "Bacterial small subunit ribosomal RNA", at positions 333 to 796 of the family's 1533-position model. The record is from RNAcentral.